RNAcentral lists this ribosomal RNA (387 nucleotides) under uncultured bacterium. RNAcentral describes it as "bacterial SSU rRNA". It matches the Rfam family "Bacterial small subunit ribosomal RNA", at positions 29 to 444 of the family's 1533-position model. The record is from RNAcentral.
AACGAACGCUGGCGGCAUGCCUAACACAUGCAAGUCGAACGAGACCUUCGGGUCUAGUGGCGCACGGGUGCGUAACGCGUGGGAAUCUGCCCUUGGGUACGGAAUAACAGUUAGAAAUGACUGCUAAUACCGUAUAAUGACUUCGGUCCAAAGAUUUAUCGCCCAGGGAUGAGCCCGCGUAGGAUUAGCUUGUUGGUGAGGUAAAGGCUCACCAAGGCGACGAUCCUUAGCGGUCUGAGAGGAUGAUCAGCCACACUGGGACUGAGACACGGCCCAGACUCCUACGGGAGGCAGCAGUGGGGAAUAUUGGACAAUGGGGGAAACCCUGAUCCAGCAAUGCCGCGUGAGUGAUGAAGGCCUUAGGGUUGUAAAGCUCUUUUACCCGGG